RNAcentral lists this ribosomal RNA (253 nucleotides) under uncultured bacterium. RNAcentral's name for it is "partial 16S ribosomal RNA". It matches the Rfam family "Bacterial small subunit ribosomal RNA", at positions 524 to 776 of the family's 1533-position model. The record is from RNAcentral.
UACAGAGGGGGCGAGCGUUAUUCGGAAUUAUUGGGCGUAAAGGGCGCGUAGGCGGCUUUGCAAGUGACGGGUGAAAUCCCUCGGCUUAACCGAGGAACUGCCUGUCAAACUGCAUGGCUUGAGACCGGGAGAGGUGAGUGGAAUUCCCAGUGUAGCGGUGAAAUGCGUAGAUAUUGGGAGGAACACCAGUGGCGAAGGCGGCUCACUGGACCGGUACUGACGCUGAGGCGCGAAAGCGUGGGGAGCAAACAGG